This 416-nucleotide ribosomal RNA is filed under the name uncultured bacterium. RNAcentral describes it as "bacterial SSU rRNA". It matches the Rfam family "Bacterial small subunit ribosomal RNA", at positions 29 to 490 of the family's 1533-position model. The record is from RNAcentral.
AACGAACGCUGGCGGCAGGCCUAACACAUGCAAGUCGAACGCACCGCAAGGUGAGUGGCGCACGGGUGAGUAACACGUGGGAAUGUACCCUUUGGUUCGGAAUAACGUUUGGAAACGAACGCUAAUACCGGAUGAGCCCUGCGGGGGAAAGAUUUAUCGCCAAAGGAGCAGCCCGCGUCUGAUUAGCUAGUUGGUGGGGUAAAGGCCUACCAAGGCGACGAUCAGUAGCUGGUCUGAGAGGAUGAUCAGCCACACUGGGACUGAGACACGGCCCAGACUCCUACGGGAGGCAGCAGUGGGGAAUAUUGGACAAUGGGCGCAAGCCUGAUCCAGCCAUGCCGCGUGAGUGAUGAAGGCCUUCGGGUUGUAAAGGUCUCCUUCGCACGCGACGAUGAUGACGGUAGCGUGAGAAGAAG